AACGAACGCUGGCGGCGUGGCUAAGACAUGCAAGUCGAACGGACUGUUCAAUUUAUUGUUCAGUUAGUGGCGAAAGGGUUAGUAACGGAUGGGUAACGUACCCUGUGCUUUGGGAUAGCGUCAGUUACUUCGGUAACUUUCCGAAAGGGGCGGUAAUACCAGAUAAUAUCAUUUGUCGAUAGGCAGAUGAUCAAAGAUUUAUCGGCACGGGAGCGGCCUGUCUCCUAUCAGCUUGUUGGUGAGGUAACGGCUCACCAAGGCAACGACGGGUAGCGGGACUGAGAGGUUGACCCGCAACAUCGGGACUGAGACACUGCCCGGACCUCCACGGAGGGCUGCAGUAACGGAUAUUGUGCAAUGGGCGAAAGCCUGACACAGCGACGCCGCGUGUAGGAGGAAGUCUUUCGGGAUGUAAACUACUGUCAGGGGGAAGAAAGUGCGCUUCGGCGUAUUGAUCUACCCCAGAGGAAGUCACGGCUAACUUCGUGCCAGCAGCCGCGGUAAGACGAAGGUGGCAAGCGUUGUUCGGUAUUACUGGGCUUAAAGCGUGUGUAGGCGGAAAAGUAAGCGUCCUGUGAAAGCCCCCGGCUUAACCGGGGAAUUGCGUGACGAACUGCUUUUCUUGAGGCAAGUAGGGGUGCAUGGAACUCUUGGUGGAGCGGUGGAAUGCGUAGAUAUCAAGAGGAACGCCAGUGGAGAAAUCGGUG
Molecule: ribosomal RNA, 707 nt
Filed under: uncultured Planctomycetota bacterium
Lineage: Bacteria; Pseudomonadati; Planctomycetota
Description: bacterial SSU rRNA
Rfam family: Bacterial small subunit ribosomal RNA
Source: RNAcentral